This is a long non-coding RNA of Anneissia japonica, 251 nucleotides long. RefSeq lists it as uncharacterized. The transcript is spliced from 3 exons. NCBI's taxonomy places the organism in Eukaryota, Metazoa, Echinodermata, Crinoidea, Comatulida, Comatulidae. The record is from RefSeq and is a predicted model, not a curated record.
GGUGAAUAAUGCUGGAAUUGUCAUUCCAGACUCCAUAGAGACAGUCCAACUACAAAACUUCGAUCAAGUAUUUCGUAUAAAUGUACGAGCACCUUUCCAGUUACUACACCUUGCUUGUCCGCAUCUCAUUAAAACAAAAGGAAGUGUUGUGAAUAUCUCAAGUGUAGCCGGCAUAAGAGCUUUUCCUGGUAUAUUAAGCUAUUGUAUGUCAAAGAGUACUUUAGAUCAUAUGACUGCUAGUGCAGCUCAAG